GUGAGGAAUUUUCCGCAAUGGGCGAAAGCCUGACGGAGCAAUGCCGCGUGAAGGAUGAAGGCCUAUGGGUUGUAAACUUCUUUUCUCAGAAAAGAAUUAUGACGGUAUCUGAGGAAUAAGCAUCGGCUAACUCUGUGCCAGCAGCCGCGGUAAGACAGAGGAUGCAAGCGUUAUCCGGAAUGAUUGGGCGUAAAGCGUCUGUAGGUUGUUUAAAAAGUAUUCUGUCAAAGAUUAGGGCUUAACCCUAGAUAGGCAGAAUAAACUUUUAAGCUAGAGUGUGGUAGAAGCAGAGGGAAUUCCCGGUGGAGCGGUGAAAUGCGUAGAUAUCGGGAGGAACACCAAAGGCGAAGGCACUCUGCUGGGCCAAUCCUAACACUGAGAGACGAAAGCGAGGGGAGCAAAUGGGAUUAGAAACCCGUGUAGUCC
Molecule: ribosomal RNA, 426 nt
Filed under: uncultured bacterium
Lineage: Bacteria
Description: partial 16S ribosomal RNA
Rfam family: Bacterial small subunit ribosomal RNA
Source: RNAcentral